This 251-nucleotide ribosomal RNA is filed under the name uncultured bacterium. RNAcentral's name for it is "partial 16S ribosomal RNA". It matches the Rfam family "Bacterial small subunit ribosomal RNA", at positions 524 to 776 of the family's 1533-position model. The record is from RNAcentral.
UACGUAGGGGGCAAGCGUUGUCCGGAUUUAUUGGGCGUAAAGAGCGUGUAGGCGGCCAGACAGGUCCGUUGUGAAAACUCGAGGCUCAACCUCGAGACGUCGAUGGAAACCGUCUGGCUAGAGUCCGGAAGAGGAGAGUGGAAUUCCUGGUGUAGCGGUGAAAUGCGCAGAUAUCAGGAGAACACCGGUGGCGAAGGCGGGUCCGCUGGGCAAUGACUGACGCUGAGAGCGAAGCGUGGGGAGCGAACAGG